This 253-nucleotide ribosomal RNA is filed under the name uncultured bacterium. RNAcentral's name for it is "partial 16S ribosomal RNA". It matches the Rfam family "Bacterial small subunit ribosomal RNA", at positions 524 to 776 of the family's 1533-position model. The record is from RNAcentral.
GACGGAGGGUGCAAGCGUUGUUCGGAUUUACUGGGCGUAAAGGGCGCGUAGGCGGCGGGUCAAGUCGAGUGUGAAAGCCCCGGGCUCAACCUGGGAGGUGCGCUCGAGACUGGUCUGCUAGAGUUCGGGAGAGGAGCGUGGAAUUCCCAGUGUAGAGGUGAAAUUCGUAGAUAUUGGGAAGAACACCGGUGGCGAAGGCGGCGCUCUGGACCGAGACUGACGCUGAGGCGCGAAAGCGUGGGGAGCAAACAGG